CGGGCCCCUCACUGUUGUGGCCUCUCCCAUUGCGGAGCACAGGCUCCGGACGCGCAGGCUCAGCGGUCAUGGCUCACGGGCCCAACCGCUCCGCGGCAUGUGGGAUCCUCCCAGACUGGGGCACGAACCCGUGUCCCCUGCAUCGGCAGGCGGACUCUCAACCACUGCACCACCAGGGAAGCCCGACAUUAAUUUUACUACACCAGAGUUCUGUUUCAGCAUUUGAGUAGGCAUUCAGAACUCUGGAGAGGGUUUCAACUAGGAAUACUGCCAAAGGAACAGGGCUUUACUUUUCCCUUCUAUCCUGGAAAAACAACAGCAACAAAACAAAUGGCAACAACAAAUAAAUUCUUUCUUCACUCUAAUUGGGGCACUUGGGAUUCCCAAGCCCCAGCCGAGUUUGCCUCCCUCUCCUUGAUGCCAUCCCUUAUCCCAGGCCACGUGUUCCACCUAGCUGGUAAUUGGGCUGUAUCUGUUCCAAGUGUGGCAAAUUAGUGGCCAACUCUGAAUGAUUGACCCUAGUUUGACCUGUAUUCAGAGAGUGUGAUGAGGCAGAUUUGAAUACUAAAAAUUGUGCUCAGCAGCCCAUGGUUCUUUUUCUUUCUGUAAUCUUGACUGUGCUUCUCAGAGCAAGGUCUGCAGGUAGGCCUUACAGACCAUGUUUUUCCUCUUCCCCAAAUAUGCAGCCUUUCUACCAGCUUUUCAACUUGCUUCAGGUCAGCAGAAUGAUAAAAUUUGCCAUGUCUCGUGAUUAAUAGCCUUUCAGCGUUUUUUAUACAUAUUGAUAUAUUUGGAGCUUAUUUUGAAGCUACCUACCUCUGAAAACCAUUUGAUCUGUGUUUAGGUUUUUUUUUUUUUUUCCUCUAUUCUUAACAUCAUUUUGUGUUUCAGAACCCCAAGCCAGAGUAGCUUGUUUUGGAAAAUACUUGUGUUUUUAAAAAAAAGUUCAAUGUAAUUCACAUUUUUUUAUAAAGAAAUUCAUAUUUUC
Long non-coding RNA from Lagenorhynchus albirostris (white-beaked dolphin), 988 nucleotides. RefSeq lists it as uncharacterized. Lineage: Eukaryota; Metazoa; Chordata; Mammalia; Artiodactyla; Delphinidae. The record is from RefSeq and is a predicted model, not a curated record. The transcript has 2 exons.